Molecule: unclassified non-coding RNA, 253 nt
Filed under: uncultured Nocardioidaceae bacterium
Lineage: Bacteria; Bacillati; Actinomycetota; Actinomycetes; Propionibacteriales; Nocardioidaceae
Description: contains 16S-23S intergenic spacer region
Rfam family: Bacterial small subunit ribosomal RNA
Source: RNAcentral
GACGAACCGUCCAAACGUUAUUCGGAAUUAUUGGGCGUAAAGGGCUCGUAGGCGGUUUGUCGCGUCGGGAGUGAAAACGCCGUGCUUAACACGGCGCUUGCUUUCGAUACGGGCAGACUAGAGGUAUUCAGGGGAGAACGGAAUUCCUGGUGUAGCGGUGAAAUGCGCAGAUAUCAGGAGGAACACCGGUGGCGAAGGCGGUUCUCUGGGAAUGACCUGACGCUGAGGAGCGAAAGUGUGGGGAGCGAACAGG